ACAAUUUUAUUGCUUAACAGAAAGUUAGAAGCUUUCUAAUAAUAUUUCUUU
RNAcentral lists this transfer RNA (51 nucleotides) under Cautires sp. VK-2011. RNAcentral describes it as "partial tRNA-Ser". The record is from RNAcentral. Lineage: Eukaryota; Metazoa; Arthropoda; Insecta; Coleoptera; Lycidae.